RNAcentral lists this ribosomal RNA (784 nucleotides) under uncultured Neocallimastigales. Its description in RNAcentral is "partial large subunit ribosomal RNA". It matches the Rfam family "Eukaryotic large subunit ribosomal RNA", at positions 22 to 649 of the family's 3401-position model. Lineage: Eukaryota; Fungi; Neocallimastigomycota; Neocallimastigomycetes; Neocallimastigales. The record is from RNAcentral.
GUACACGCUGUGACUAGCAUAUCAAUAAGCGGAGGAAAAGAAACUAACAAGGAUUCCCUCAGUAACGGCGAGUGAAGCGGGAAGAGCUCAAAUUUGAAAUCUUAAAGGUUCUACCUUGCACGAAUUGUAGUUUAAAGAAGUGUUUUUCUGUUGACGAUCUGGUAAUAUAAGUUCUUUGGAAUAGGACAUCAUCAGAGGGUGAGAAUCCCGUCUAUGAUUGCGAUUUGUAGCUUUGUGAUACACUUUCAAAGAGUCGGGUUGUUUGGGAAUGCAGCCCAAAAACGGGAGGUAAAUUUCUUCUAAGGCUAAAUAUUGGCGAGAGACCGAUAGCGAACAAGUACCGUGAGGGAAAGAUGAAAAGAACUUUGAAAAGAGAGUUAAACUAGUACGUGAAAUUGUCAAAAGGGAAGCGUUUGACACCAGUGUUGUUUUUCUCGAAAAUCAAUUAAAAAAUGGCUCGAUUUUGUAUUGCUGAGACCUUAAAAGCUCACUGUACAUUUUUCGUGUCUUUUUUAAUGCACUUUUCGUUUAACAAGUCAACAUCAGUUUCUUUUGUUGUAAAAGGGUCAUUGGAAGGUGGCUUUCUUUUCGGAGAAAGUGUUUAUAGCCUUUGGCCUCUGCAAUCGAAGAGACUGAGGUCUGCAGCGUAGACUCUUCGGGGUUAGAUACAUUUGUGCUAAGUUAUAGCUUUUUAUAGACAACUUGUUGACUAUAAUUAGUCUUGUAGCUUACUCGCUUAUGCUAUUUUACCUACGCUUAGGAUGUUGAGUAGCGACAUACGCAC